AUGUCGAAGCCUCCCCCGGACGGCCGCGUGUACUCCGACAUGCUCCGCAGCCGCGCCCUCGCCGCCAGCGCCCACGGCUUCCUCCUCCUCGGCACCCUCAAGUCCCGCUACAGGGCUCACCCGCUCUCCGGCCUGGACCUCCCCGCCGAGCUGUUCCGCCUCCCGGAGUUCGAGGAACCGGAGGAGGAGACCUUGACGUUUGCAGACGGCAUGGCGGGCAUGUGCCUCCUGACCCAAGCCGACGGCGAUGGCCUCAACGGGCCGCCCAAGAGGUAUGCCGCUGCUCAGCUCACCGAGGUCGACGGCGGGCGGCGCCUCCUGCUGCGCCGGUUCUCCUCCGAGACAGGGGAUUGGGACGAGCAGGUGCUGCCGUCCCCGCUGCCGCCUCAGCGGCGGAUGCACCUGGGCCACGAGGUGCUGGACUUCGGAGGCCGGCUCUGGUGGGUGGACGUGAGCUGGGGCGCCGUCUGCGUCGACCCUUUCAGCGACCGGCCCGAGCUCUGCCCCGUCGAGCUCCCUCCUGACAGCAUGCUUCCGAACCAACAGGGCGAGACAGAGAUGGAGCAGCUUGUGCAGCGCCGGCACAUGGGGGUCAGCGCCGGCCGGCUGCGCUACGCCGAGGUCGACCCCUUACACAUCAGGUCCUUCGUGCUCGACAACCACCAGAGCGGCCGCUGGACACUGGAGCACCAGGUGUCUGUUCCCGAUCUCUGGCGCAAUGGGGGCAAUGCCAAGGCGACGCCUUCGAUUGCUGCUAUCGACCCACUAAACGCUGAUGCUCUGCAUCUCAGCGUGGACCAAAUCCAUGUUAGUUUGGACAUGCGCAAGAGGAUGAUCGAGGGUUCUGUGAUUCUUGAUGCAAGCCAGUUGGGUUCAGGUUGUUAUCUGCCAUGUCUGCUCCCGUCGUUUCUCUGGUCUAGCACAAUUCCAGGCAAGAACAAGACUUUGGACACCGCGAAAAACAAGACUCUGGCGGAUGUUUUGGCCGCUCUGUUGAAUGCUAGCAACUUGAACUUGUUCCUCCAGUCGUAG
RNAcentral lists this ribosomal RNA (1032 nucleotides) under Triticum aestivum (bread wheat). Its description in RNAcentral is "partial small subunit ribosomal RNA". The record is from RNAcentral. Lineage: Eukaryota; Viridiplantae; Streptophyta; Magnoliopsida; Poales; Poaceae.